Molecule: ribosomal RNA, 468 nt
Filed under: uncultured bacterium
Lineage: Bacteria
Description: partial 16S ribosomal RNA
Rfam family: Bacterial small subunit ribosomal RNA
Source: RNAcentral
GACGAACGCUGGCGGCGUGCUUAACACAUGCAAGUCGAACGGAAAGGCCCUGCUUUUGUGGGGUGCUCGAGUGGCGAACGGGUGAGUAACACGUGAGUAACCUGCCCUUGACUUUGGGAUAACUUCAGGCAACUGGGGCUAAUACCGGAUAGGAGCUCCUGCUGCAUGGUGGGGGUUGGAACGUUUAGGCGGAUGGGGAUGGACUCGCGGCUUAUUAGCUUGUUGGUGGGGUAGUGGCUUACCCAGGCUUUGACGGGUAGCCGGCCUGAGAGGGUGGCCGGCCACAUGGGGACUGAGAGACGGCCCAGACUCCUACGGGAGGCAGCAGUGGGGAAUAUUGCACAGUGGGCGGAAGCCUGAUGCAGCAACGCCGCGUGCGGGAUGACGGCCUUCGGGUUGUAAACCGCUUUCGCCUGUGACGAAGCGUGAGUGACGGUAAUGGGUAAAGAAGCACCGGCUAACUACGUG